Long non-coding RNA from Mus musculus (house mouse), 2630 nucleotides. RefSeq annotates it as predicted gene, 39876. The transcript is spliced from 2 exons. Lineage: Eukaryota; Metazoa; Chordata; Mammalia; Rodentia; Muridae. The record is from RefSeq and is a predicted model, not a curated record.
GCCCAAAACGUCGGACCGACAAGGGGGAGACGGAGGGAGGACUUGGAACCGAUGUCUCAGCGUACCCCCACCCCCACCUCAGCCCCCUUGGUGGCAGAGCAGCCGCCUGAAGGGACUGGGGCCACAGCCACUGCGUGCGCUCACUCGCUCACUGCUCGAUGCUUCGCUCCCUCCCGCUCCGGCCUGUCCCGCUAAGGCCGCUAAGGCCCCUUUUGUCUCCAGAACCGGUCUGAGCCGGUCACAUGGGCCCCCGCCCCUCCCCCCAUCCCGUGGAAGGACCCGCCCCCUCCCCCCAAACCCGCACCUCCCCAGACCCCCCUAGUCCCCGCCUCCACUCCCGCCCCUCGCCGAGCCGGGACUCCCGCGUCUGUGCCUCUCACCUCUGAUCUCUGGGUCUCUGGUCCUGGAGUUCGGUUUUACCAGUGCGCUUCUGGCUCAGGUCCCCUCGUAGCAGGCCCAGCUCUCUAUCCCCUCCCCUUCCCCUGGUCUAGGCCUGUCUAUACUUUUCCCUCUCGCAGCCUGUCAGCUCUCAGGUCACCACUUCGCUUGCCCACCGCGGGCCCCGGGAGUAUGUCCUGGUGUCACAGGCUCGGGGCGGCCACCGCACCCGCGAACCUUCCCUUCGAGGCCCGGCUCACCUCCGGCUUGGUUUUUUUUUUUUUUUUUUUUUUUUAAUCAGUUCACUCAGAGUGCAAGAAGGGUCUCUGAUGUGGCAGGGAGCUGGGUACCUGGGACCUCAGAUGGCUCCGGGAGCGGGAAAAUCAGCUCCGCCCCAGGCGCUGUGAGCCUAAGGCCCUAGGCAGAGGUCAGGAUCGGGGCAGACCCAUCUCCCGAAGUGAUCUGAGAUGUUGGUGGCCAUUUCCCCGACCCCAAGGAUUACCCAGCACACACCAUUGCUCAUGUGAGUCCCCCACAACAAGAAAAAAAGAAAACAAGAAAGGAAAAAAAAUUCACUUUACUGAGUCACACCCAGCUGUAAACAAGUCACCGUGGGAGCCCCACCCCCCACCCCAGGCCAUACAGUCCGAAAUGAAAUGGCUGGAUACAUGAGGAGGAAGACCAGGGUAGGUGCCAAGCAGGGCAGCGGGCAAGUGAAUACAGCAGGCUCUUGAGUUUCUGGGAUGCCCAGGGUGGGUGGAUCAGAGAGGAGGGUUAGGUACCCAGAACCCUCCAGAGAGCCCAAAGGAUCAGGUGGCUUUUGAAAGUCCUGCUGAGUGCAGGCCUCCCUGACAUCGAUGCUGAGCUCUGUCCAGCCCUUCCAUCUGCUGUGGUGAGCUGGAGGCUGCCCUGAAGGGAGGGAACCAGCCAGCCCAGCCUGUUUCCUGUUCCCCAUGAAACCAGGGACAGGUGAGAGUCCAGCUCCUUAGAGUCCAGCCCUAGAUCUGAACAGCUUCUCAGGGGGUGGCACGGGGCUCCUUCCCUGUGGCAGGGUCCCCCCAUAGCCAUCUGACAGGAAUGUGGCAGUGAGAUGGGCAAGGAGAGUCCUCUGGUAGUGUCCCUUGUUGAUCCAUGGUCCCCUUAACUACACAGCUGUCUCCUGGUCCUCACGCUGGAUCAUCUGGUAAUGCUGUCUGUUCUCCAGGUAGGCAGCGAGCUCUGUGUCUUGAGCCUUCUCAGCGCGCUGCCGGGGAGUGUCGCCCUGGAAAAGGGUGGAAGGGCCCCCAAGGCCUUAGGAAAGGGCAGGGGUUCUUCUACGGAGCCAGAGGGGGAGGGUAUCCUCAGAGGUCACAAGCUUUCCCCCUGCUGGCUCAGGUUUCUCAGGGCCUGGACUGUGUUGGCUCAGAAGAGCUUGAAAUUCCCUAGCCCUGCCCCCAAGUCUGGGAAAGGGUGAGUUUGUGCUCUGCCAGGCAACUCACCUGCAGAUCUGUCUUCAUGAGGGAGGCCCCGGCUUCCACAAUGUAGUGGCAGAUGGUGCGCUGACCCAGGGCGGCUGCCUGGUGUAGACAGGUCUCCCCACUGGGGAACAGGGGCUGGUUGUAGACACUUGCAGUUCUCUAGGCCUGCCCAGCAGUCUCCCAACAGCCAUUAGAAAGGGCAGGAGUUUGGCAAGAGGGGGAAGGGUGCUCAGUGCUAGCCACAAAGGGUUCUUGGGCUCUGGGUGACCAAAUGGUUAGACCUGAAGGAAGGUGGUUUUCUGGUGAACCAGGGGCCUGUGUCUCAGAUACUCACUUCUCCUCCACAGCAUCAAGGAUCUCUGGAGGUGCUGCAGAUAAAAGGAAAGGGGAUGCUAAGAGCCUGGCUCCCCCUUUCUCCCUCCCAGCCCCAGCAACGCAGCUUACCAUGAUCCAGCAGAUAGCGGACCACUUCCUUACUGCCAGUGCUGACCGCGUGGUGCAAGAGCGUGCGGCUCUUCUGGUCACGGUGCAUGAGGUCACCUCCUGCUCGGUGUAGCUCCUGGAGCUAAGGGCAGUGGGCAGGGUAGAGCAGGGCUGGAUCACCCACCCUUCACAGGCAUGGACCCAGGCACAGGCUCACUUAAGUUACUCCUUAGGCACUUCUGAGGCUUUGGUUUUUUGGUCUUUUUCUGUAGUCUUGACUGUCCUCAACUAGGUAGACAAGGUUAGCCUCAAACUCACAGGGACCCUACUGCUUCUGCCUCCUAAGUGCUGGAUUAAACGUGUGCGCCCCCA